This 508-nucleotide ribosomal RNA is filed under the name Glomus sp. Glo9. RNAcentral describes it as "SSU rRNA". It matches the Rfam family "Eukaryotic small subunit ribosomal RNA", at positions 569 to 1078 of the family's 1831-position model. The record is from RNAcentral. Lineage: Eukaryota; Fungi; Glomeromycota; Glomeromycetes; Glomerales; Glomeraceae.
AGCAGCCGCGGUAAUUCCAGCUCCAAUAGCGUAUAUUAAAGUUGUUGCAGUUAAAAAGCUCGUAGUUGAAUUUCGGGAUCAACACGUCGGUCGUGCCUUCGGUACGCACUAGCGUCGUUGGUUCCUCCCUUCUGACGAACCAUGAUGUCAUUAACUUGGUGUUUUGGGGAGUUAGGACUGUUACUUUGAAAAAAUUAGAGUGUUUAAAGCAGGCAAUCGCUUGAAUACAUUAGCAUGGAAUAAUGAAAUAGGACGUUCGAUCCUAUUUCGUUGGUUUCUAGGAUCAACGUAAUGAUUAAUAGGGAUAGUUGGGGGCAUUAGUAUUCAAUUGUCAGAGGUGAAAUUCUUGGAUUUAUUGAAGACUAACUACUGCGAAAGCAUUUGCCAAGGAUGUUUUCAUUAAUCAAGAACGAAAGUUAGGGGAUCGAAGACGAUCAGAUACCGUCGUAGUCUUAACCAUAAACUAUGCCGACUAGGGAUCGGAUGAUGUUAAUUUUUUAAUGACUCA